UGGUUCUGGCAUCGAUGAAGAACGCAGCGAAAUGCGAUAAGUAAUGCGAAUUGCAGAAUUUCCGUGAGUCAUCGAAUCUUUGAACGCACAUUGCGCCUAUUGGUAUUCCGAUGGGCAUGCCUGUUCGAGCGUCAUUAUCCUCUCUCAAACCUCGGGUUUGGUGUUGGACCGGUGUUGUUGGGGACAACCGAACAACUGGUCUUAAAGACAAUGACGGCGUCCGUGGGACCCUCUUCGCAACGAGCUUCUCGGAGCACGCGUCGAGUAUCAAGGACCUUCCGGGCCGGUCUACCUCAUUAUUUUUUCUCAGGUUGACCUCGGAUCAGGUAGGAAUACCCGCUGA
RNAcentral lists this unclassified non-coding RNA (343 nucleotides) under uncultured fungus. RNAcentral describes it as "partial contains 5.8S ribosomal RNA and internal transcribed spacer 2". The stretch from base 1 to 134 matches the Rfam family "5.8S ribosomal RNA", at positions 22 to 154 of the family's 154-position model. Lineage: Eukaryota; Fungi. The record is from RNAcentral.